AGUUUGUUACUCUUUGCUGCGGAAAGGGAGAUGUUAAUUCUGUAUUGAGGGGUGGUUCUACUUUGGCUUGAGGGCUAACUGAUGCAUAUCAAGAGGUUUUGGUAGCAGGCAGCUUAUUUUGUUUUGGGCUACUGAUGCAAAUCUGGAGGUCUUGGUAGCAGGCGACUUCUUUUGUUUCAGAGCUACUGAUGCAUAUCAGGAGCUUUUGAUAGCAGGCGACGUGUUUCUGAUUUUUUUUAACCUGGUAACUAUGCAUGAGUAACUCCUUUGUGAGCAUUUUCGAGAGCAAUCUGGUUUGUCUUGUACUAGGGCAAUGUACUGCCAAAAGUUGUUCCUUUCUGAUAUAAUUUUGAUGAUGUCUUGUAUCGGAAUAUAAGUGUACUGGCCUAUUUGAAUGCUAUGGUACAAACUACAAGUGACCACAUUGAUCUAAACAUAUUUACGUGCACUUGUGCCUUUCAUAUCUCAGUGCUGAUGUACUCCUUUUGUAUUCAGAUCAAGGCACCGUAUGCAUGUUUAGCCUAUAAAUUUUUGAAUUAGCCUUGCAGUUUCGAGCAUGUGAA
This is a long non-coding RNA of Panicum virgatum (switchgrass), 563 nucleotides long. RefSeq lists it as uncharacterized. The transcript is spliced from 2 exons. The record is from RefSeq and is a predicted model, not a curated record. NCBI's taxonomy places the organism in Eukaryota, Viridiplantae, Streptophyta, Magnoliopsida, Poales, Poaceae.